UACGUAGGGGGCAAGCGUUGUCCGGAAUCAUUGGGCGUAAAGAGCGUGUAGGCGGCCAGAUAAGUCCGCUGUGAAAACUCGAGGCUCAACUUCGAGCUGUCGGUGGAAACUAUUUGGCUAGAGUCCGGAAGAGGAGAGUGGAAUUCCUGGUGUAGCGGUGAAAUGCGCAGAUAUCAGGAAGAACACCCGUGGCGAAGGCGGCUCUCUGGGACGGUACUGACGCUGAGACGCGAAAGCGUGGGGAGCGAACAGG
RNAcentral lists this ribosomal RNA (253 nucleotides) under uncultured bacterium. Its description in RNAcentral is "partial 16S ribosomal RNA". It matches the Rfam family "Bacterial small subunit ribosomal RNA", at positions 524 to 776 of the family's 1533-position model. The record is from RNAcentral.